UACGAAGGGUGCAAGCGUUACUCGGAAUUACUGGGCGUAAAGCGUGCGUAGGUGGUGAGUUAAGUCUGAUGUGAAAUCCCCGGGCUCAACCUGGGAAUGGCAUUGGAUACUGGCUCGCUAGAGUGCGGUAGAGGGUGGUGGAAUUCCCGGUGUAGCAGUGAAAUGCGUAGAGAUCGGGAGGAACAUCUGAGGCGACGGCGGCCACCUGGACCUACACUGACACUGAGGCACGAAAGCGUGGGGAGCAAACAGG
Molecule: ribosomal RNA, 253 nt
Filed under: uncultured bacterium
Lineage: Bacteria
Description: partial 16S ribosomal RNA
Rfam family: Bacterial small subunit ribosomal RNA
Source: RNAcentral